Molecule: small RNA, 147 nt
Filed under: Grimontia kaedaensis
Lineage: Bacteria; Pseudomonadati; Pseudomonadota; Gammaproteobacteria; Vibrionales; Vibrionaceae
Description: Grimontia sp. 020920N RtT sRNA
Rfam family: RtT RNA
About the family: This family represents a bacterial cis-regulatory element known as RtT RNA. The exact function of RtT is unknown although it is thought that it may be involved in changing the cellular response in relation to amino acid starvation.
Source: RNAcentral
UAACCCUCGCAAGAGAUAGGGUGCAGAACCCUAGACCCUAUGGGUUCAGCCGAGCGAAGCGAGACAACGUUGCCCGGCGAAGCCGAGUAGGCAACGGCCCGAAGGGCAAGGGAGCUUGCGACCGAGUAAAUCCCUAUCUCUCCGCCA